Molecule: ribosomal RNA, 449 nt
Filed under: uncultured bacterium
Lineage: Bacteria
Description: bacterial SSU rRNA
Rfam family: Bacterial small subunit ribosomal RNA
Source: RNAcentral
ACGCCAGACUCCUACGGGAGGCAGCAGUGGGGGAUAUUGCACAAUGGGGGAAACCCUGAUGCAGCGACGCCGCGUGUGGGAAGACGGUCCUCUGGAUUGUAAACCACUGUCCCCAGGGACGAAGAUGACGGUAUCUAACGAAUAAGCACCGGCUAACUCCGUGCCAGCAGCCGCGGUAAUACGGAGGGUGCAAGCGUUACUCGGAAUCACUGGGCGUAAAGAGCGCGUAGGCGGGAUAGCAAGUCAGAUGUGAAAUCCUAUGGCUUAACCAUAGAACUGCAUUUGAAACUGUUAUUCUAGAGUAUGGGAGAGGUAGGUGGAAUUCUUGGUGUAGGGGUAAAAUCCGUAGAGAUCAAGAGGAAUACUCAUUGCGAAGGCGACCUGCUAGAACAUAACUGACGCUGAUGCGCGAAAGCGUGGGGAGCAAACAGGAUUAGAUACCCCAGUAC